RNAcentral lists this ribosomal RNA (429 nucleotides) under Actinomycetes bacterium. RNAcentral describes it as "Actinobacteria bacterium partial 16S ribosomal RNA". It matches the Rfam family "Bacterial small subunit ribosomal RNA", at positions 355 to 776 of the family's 1533-position model. Lineage: Bacteria; Bacillati; Actinomycetota; Actinomycetes. The record is from RNAcentral.
UAGGGAAUCUUCCGCAAUGGGCGAAAGCCUGACGGAGCAACGCCGCGUGAGUGAUGAAGGUCUUCGGAUCGUAAAACUCUGUUAUUAGGGAAGAACAAAUGUGUAAGUAACUAUGCACGUCUUGACGGUACCUAAUCAGAAAGCCACGGCUAACUACGUGCCAGCAGCCGCGGUAAUACGUAGGUGGCAAGCGUUAUCCGGAAUUAUUGGGCGUAAAGCGCGCGUAGGCGGUUUUUUAAGUCUGAUGUGAAAGCCCACGGCUCAACCGUGGAGGGUCAUUGGAAACUGGAAAACUUGAGUGCAGAAGAGGAAAGUGGAAUUACAUCUGUAGCGGUGAAAUGCGCAGAGAUAUGGAGGAACACCAGUGGCGAAGGCGACUUUCUGGUCUGUAACUGACGCUGAUGUGCGAAAGCGUGGGGAUCAAACAGG